UUUAGAUUGAAGGAGCUUGCUCCUGAUUGAUAAACAUUUGAGUGAGUGGCGGACGGGUGAGUAACACGUGGGUAACCUGCCCUAAAGUGGGGGAUAACAUUUGGAAACAGAUGCUAAUACCGCAUAAAACCUAACACCGCAUGGUGUAGGGUUGAAAGAUGGUUUCGGCUAUCACUUUAGGAUGGACCCGCGGUGCAUUAGUUAGUUGGUGAGGUAAAGGCUCACCAAGACCGUGAUGCAUAGCCGACCUGAGAGGGUAAUCGGCCACACUGGGACUGAGACACGGCCCAGACUCCUACGGGAGGCAGCAGUAGGGAAUCUUCCACAAUGGACGAAAGUCUGAUGGAGCAACGCCGCGUGAGUGAAGAAGGUUUUCGGAUCGUAAAACUCUGUUGUUGGAGAAGAAUGUAUCUGAUAGUAACUGAUCAGGUAGUGACGGUAUCCAACCAGAAAGCCACGGCUAACUACGUGCCAGCAGCCGCGGUAAUACGUAGGUGGCAAGCGUUGUCCGGAUUUAUUGGGCGUAAAGCGAGCGCAGGCGGUUUCUUAAGUCUGAUGUGAAAGCCUUCGGCUCAACCGAAGAAGUGCAUCGGAAACUGGGAAACUUGAGUGCAGAAGAGGACAGUGGAACUCCAUGUGUAGCGGUGAAAUGCGUAGAUAUAUGGAAGAACACCAGUGGCGAAGGCGGCUGUCUGGUCUGUAACUGACGCUGAGGCUCGAAAGCAUGGGUAGCAAACAGGAUUAGAUACCCUGGUAGUCCAUGCCGUAAACGAUGAGUGCUAGGUGUUGGAGGGUUUCCGCCCUUCAGUGCCGCAGCUAACGCAUUAAGCACUCCGCCUGGGGAGUACGACCGCAAGGUUGAAACUCAAAGGAAUUGACGGGGGCCCGCACAAGCGGUGGAGCAUGUGGUUUAAUUCGAAGCAACGCGAAGAACCUUACCAGGUCUUGACAUCCUUUGACCACUCUAGAGAUAGAGCUUUCCCUUCGGGGACAAAGUGACAGGUGGUGCAUGGUUGUCGUCAGCUCGUGUCGUGAGAUGUUGGGUUAAGUCCCGCAACGAGCGCAACCCUUAUUACUAGUUGCC
Molecule: ribosomal RNA, 1084 nt
Filed under: Lactobacillus sp. LS21a
Lineage: Bacteria; Bacillati; Bacillota; Bacilli; Lactobacillales; Lactobacillaceae
Description: bacterial SSU rRNA
Rfam family: Bacterial small subunit ribosomal RNA
Source: RNAcentral